GUUUUUGUCUUUUUGUUGUAGUUUUUUCUUUAGAAUUAUUAGAAUAUGUAAAUAAUGUAAUAUAAAUAAUGUUUAUAAAUUCUUUUAUAUUUACUUUAUUAUUUCAUUUAAAUUACUACAUUAUAAGCCAACAGGUUUGACUGGCAAUAUAAGUAAUGUUGUUCAUCGUUUAUAUUGUUUAUAACAUCGUCAGUUUUUAUAUGCAUUUAAUAUUUUUAAAAAUAGUUCAAAAGCUGUCAAAAUAAAAUGGUGAAUUGAGUUUAAACCAGAAAAGAUAUAAACGUAAUCUUUGGGAUUCAACUUGUAAGGAUGUUCCAAGAACCACUUAGUUGGAGAAGGAAAACUGUGCCGUUCAUUAACAAGUCCUGUGCUUUAUAAUAUAUUAAAAAAUGGAAGGACGUGAAGAAAACAGGCAGGAAUGUUUGACUGGAAAUAUAAACGAUGUUGUACAUAAUGCAGAUAGCUUAGGCAAAAAAGAGAUUGAUGAAAUGGAGAAUGAGACUAACUAGGGUGAAAAAAAAUGAAUAUUAAUAUGUGAAUAGUACUUUGUUUAACAUCUACCUGUUUCUACAGAUACAGUACAGACGCAUUUAUAAAUGGGCUUGAUGUUUUUUUGAAUUAAAUAUGUUGUAUUGA
Hydra vulgaris (swiftwater hydra) is the source of this 636-nucleotide non-coding RNA. The record is from RefSeq and is a predicted model, not a curated record. Lineage: Eukaryota; Metazoa; Cnidaria; Hydrozoa; Anthoathecata; Hydridae.